UGAGAUCAAGAUAUGCAAAAUACACACGGAUCUGAACAUUUCUGAUCCGUUGACAAAAUCACUCCCGCAGGCUAAGCAUGAUGCGCAUGUAAGAGCUAUGGGUAUUAGGUACCUUCUAGAUUUACUCUAGUGCAAGUAGGAGACUGUUGGAGGUAUGCCCUAGAGGCAAUCAUAGAGAUGAUGAUAUUCCAUUUGUAUCCAUGAUUUGUAUGUUGUGUUCAUUGAAUAUCCAUUGAAGGCUACUUGAAUUGAUUUGCAAUUAUGUGAAUUGUAUGUGAAACUCUUUACUUGUAUGGUUAUUCUAAAGAUUGUCCCUAGUCGGAGUUCAUGUGAGGACACACAUGAAUAUUAGACUAGCACAUGUAUUAGUUG
Molecule: long non-coding RNA, 372 nt
Filed under: Setaria viridis
Lineage: Eukaryota; Viridiplantae; Streptophyta; Magnoliopsida; Poales; Poaceae
Description: long non-coding RNA (SVIR_LNC006780)
Source: RNAcentral